Phrynosoma platyrhinos (Desert horned lizard) is the source of this 72-nucleotide non-coding RNA. Lineage: Eukaryota; Metazoa; Chordata; Lepidosauria; Squamata; Phrynosomatidae. The record is from the annotation of a GenBank genome assembly.
GUUGGUGUGGUGUAAUGGUUUGAGCAUUGGACUACAACUCUGGAGAUCAGAGUUCAAUUCUCUGCUCAGCCA